UCGCAAUGCCCGAAAGGGUGACGAAGCGACGCCGCGUGUGGGAAGAAGGCCUUCGGGUUGUAAACCACUGUCGGGAGUUAGGAAAUGUAAGGGUGUUAAUAGCAUCCUUACUUGACUAAGGCUCCGGAGGAAGCCACGGCUAACUCUGUGCCAGCAGCCGCGGUAAUACAGAGGCGGCAAGCGUUGUUCGGAAUUAUUGGGCGUAAAGAGCACGUAGGCGGCCUUGUAAGUCAGUUGUGAAAGCCUUCUGCUUAACGGAAGAACAGCAGCUGAUACUGCAAGGCUAGAGUGCGGAAGGGGAGAGUGGAACUUCUGGUGGAGCGGUGAAAUGCGUAGAUAUCAGAAGGAACACCGGCGGCGAAGGCGACUCUCUGGUCCGUAACUGACGCUGAGUGUGCGAAAGCUAGGGGAGCAAACGGGAUUAGAUACCCCGGUAGUCCUAGCCGUAAACGAUGGGCACUAA
This 463-nucleotide ribosomal RNA is filed under the name uncultured anaerobic ammonium-oxidizing bacterium. Its description in RNAcentral is "bacterial SSU rRNA". It matches the Rfam family "Bacterial small subunit ribosomal RNA", at positions 366 to 819 of the family's 1533-position model. The record is from RNAcentral.